Molecule: transfer RNA, 73 nt
Filed under: Dermacentor andersoni
Lineage: Eukaryota; Metazoa; Arthropoda; Arachnida; Ixodida; Ixodidae
Description: transfer RNA methionine (anticodon CAU)
Rfam family: tRNA
About the family: Transfer RNA (tRNA) molecules are approximately 80 nucleotides in length. Their secondary structure includes four short double-helical elements and three loops (D, anti-codon, and T loops). Further hydrogen bonds mediate the characteristic L-shaped molecular structure. tRNAs have two regions of fundamental functional importance: the anti-codon, which is responsible for specific mRNA codon recognition, and the 3' end, to which the tRNAs corresponding amino acid is attached (by aminoacyl-tRNA synthetases). tRNAs cope with the degeneracy of the genetic code in two manners: having more than one tRNA (with a specific anti-codon) for a particular amino acid; and 'wobble' base-pairing, i.e. permitting non-standard base-pairing at the 3rd anti-codon position.
Source: RNAcentral
GCCUCGGUAGCGCAGUAGGCAGCGCGUCAGUCUCAUAAUCUGAAGGUCGUGAGUUCGAUCCUCACUCUCGGCA